UGGGGAAUAUUGCACAAUGGGCGCAAGCCUGAUGCAGCCAUGCCGCGUGUGUGAAGAAGGCCUUCGGGUUGUAAAGCACUUUCAGCGGGGAGGAAGGCGUUAAGGUUAAUAACCUUGGCGAUUGACGUUACCCGCAGAAGAAGCACCGGCUAACUCCGUGCCAGCAGCCGCGGUAAUACGGAGGGUGCAAGCGUUAAUCGGAAUUACUGGGCGUAAAGCGCACGCAGGCGGUCUGUCAAGUCGGAUGUGAAAUCCCCGGGCUCAACCUGGGAACUGCAUUCGAAACUGGCAGGCUAAAGUCUUGUAGAGGGGGGUAGAAUUCCAGGUGUAGCGGUGAAAUGCGUAGAGCACUGGAGGAAUACCGGUGGCGAAGGCGGCCCCCUGGACAAAGACUGACGCUCAGGUGCGAAAGCGUGGGGAGCAAACAGG
This 429-nucleotide ribosomal RNA is filed under the name Chloroflexota bacterium. RNAcentral's name for it is "Chloroflexi bacterium partial 16S ribosomal RNA". It matches the Rfam family "Bacterial small subunit ribosomal RNA", at positions 355 to 776 of the family's 1533-position model. The record is from RNAcentral. Lineage: Bacteria; Bacillati; Chloroflexota.